RNAcentral lists this ribosomal RNA (506 nucleotides) under uncultured bacterium. RNAcentral describes it as "partial 16S ribosomal RNA". It matches the Rfam family "Bacterial small subunit ribosomal RNA", at positions 28 to 523 of the family's 1533-position model. The record is from RNAcentral.
GAUGAACGCUAGCUACAGGCUUAACACAUGCAAGUCGAGGGGUAACGAGAGGAAAGCUUGCUUUCCUUGUCGACGACCGGCGCACGGGUGAGUAACGCGUAUCCAACCUGCCCCCAACUAGGGAAUAACCUUGCGAAAGUAAGACUAAUACCCUAUAAUUUCCUCAGAUGUCAUCUGACGAGGAAUAAAGAUUUAUCGGUUGUGGAUGGGGAUGCGUCUGAUUAGCUUGUUGGCGGGGUAACGGCCCACCAAGGCAACGAUCAGUAGGGGUUCUGAGAGGAAGGUCCCCCACAUUGGAACUGAGACACGGUCCAAAAUCCUACGGGAGGCAUCAGUGAGGAAUAUUGGUCAAUGGGCGGAAGCCUGAACCAGCCAAGUAGCGUGCAGGAUGACGGCCCUAUGGGUUGUAAACUGCUUUUAUACAGGAAUAAAGUUAGCCACGUGUGGUUAUUUGUAGGUACUGUAUGAAUAAGGACCGGCUAAUUCCGUGCCAGCCGCCGCAGUAA